GACGAACGCUGGCGGCGUGCUUAACACAUGCAAGUCGAACGGAAAGGCCCCUUUGGUGGUACUCGAUUGGCGAACGGGUGAGUAACACGUGAGUAACCUGCCCUUGACUUCGGGAUAACUUCAGGAAACUGGGGCUAAUACCGGAUAGGAAUCCUUGCUGCAUGGUGGGGGUUGGAAAGCUUCGGCGGUUUUGGAUGGACUCGCGGCUUAUCAGCUUGUUGGUGGGGUAGUGGCUUACCAAGGCUUUGACGGGUAGCCGGCCUGAGAGGGCGACCGGCCACAUUGGGACUGAGAUACGGCCCAGACUCCUACGGGAGGCAGCAGUGGGGAAUAUUGGACAAUGGGCGGAAGCCUGAUGCAGCAACGCCGCGUGCGGGAUGACGGGCUUCGGGUUGUAAACCGCUUUCAGCAGGGGCGAAGCUUGUGGUGACGGUACCUGCAGAAGAAGCACCGGCUAACUACGUG
This 465-nucleotide ribosomal RNA is filed under the name uncultured bacterium. RNAcentral describes it as "partial 16S ribosomal RNA". It matches the Rfam family "Bacterial small subunit ribosomal RNA", at positions 28 to 507 of the family's 1533-position model. The record is from RNAcentral.